UGGCGGGCCCGGCGGUGGGGGAGGGAGAGGAGAACAGAGAGGAGGCGCUGGAGCUCGGAAGGCCAGGCGCUGGGUGCGAGUGGGUGACGCGAGGCGCCCCUCCCCGGGGUGCAGGGAGAGCGCUGGGCGCGUGGAGACGCCGCCGGGCUCGCGCCUUCUCCUUGCCGGGUAGAUCCAGAGGAAUGUGCGGAGCUCGGCUUGGAGCAACAGAAAGGGGCAAUCCGAACUUGGCCGCCGCACCCGCGCCGGGCUUCGCCUCGGUGCCCCGCUCUGGGAGGAAGGGCGCUCUGCCUGGUGGAGGCUACACUAGGCUUUCCUCGCGCCUGUCGAAGGCGUUCCUUCCUCCUUGGCUGUCUCGCCUUCUGUCUUUUCUGCAGGUAGAAGGCAGCGGCGAGACAAGGAGCUGUCUGCCGGAGUUCUCCUAGCACCAAGAAGGAGAGAUGUGGAGCGGCCCAGGGAGGGAAGCCGAGUGUUUGCCAGGGGACGCUGCGAGUGGGGAUGCAUUUAUAGGACUCGCACUUCGUGACGUGCCCUCCACUGGCUUUUCUGAUUCGCUUUCUGACCUAAACACACAUUAGUUUAGUCCCCAUGCUAGGGCCAACACGGUCUCCAAAUAUCUGCUGGCUGAAGUCAGAGGCUUUGCAUAUCAUGUAUUACAUGGCAGGCAAUGAAGAAGGCUUCUGAGGCUGGCCGGCUCCUCAGUCCUAGGUUCCAUUUUCAUGCUGUUGUAAUAUAAUACCAGACAUGGGGUAGGCACAUACAUUCAAAAUCCCAAUUCCAGAGGCAUAAGAUCAUUUUAUCAAGAAGAGGUCAGGGGAGGUUGGGCAAAACCUGCGUUUAUCCAGAUUUUCGAAAAUGAGAUGGAAAACCUAAGCCUGUAUCCCGUUGGGUGCUUAGUUUCCAGCGAGCAGAGACCCAGCCCCCAUUUCAGAGCUCUGAGUGGGAGAGGUGAGACCUUUUCGGCAUUCCUUUUGUUGGUUAGCUCACCACCAGAAGCAGCCAGGAGCCUUCCUUUGUAGAGGACAGGAGGAGGGCAAGUCCUUACACACCCUGUACAUGGCUAUAACCAUAAAUACGUUCCAUUCACAUGGAGCAUGAAAUUAGCUCCACCUUCAAAAUAAUGUACUAACUAAAGGAUGUCUUUGCUAAGCAGAAACCUGUUUUCCGGAAGUGACUGGACCUGAAUUCAGUUGGACUUCUUUUAUUUUAUUAGUUAGGAACCUGAAAAGUGUAAACAGGCUCAGUUUACAUCCAGGGGGUUGCAAGGAGAAGAUACACUGACUUAACCUUGAGUGAUGGGAGUUUACUGUGGAAGGAAGGCUGACCGGAAUCUCCACCACUCAGCCACGUGUCUCUGAAAAGCCUUCCGGAAAGGCCACUGGGCCAGGCCUCACGAAAACUGGAUUGAAGUUCAGGAACUGGAAGGUCAUUCAGGAUACGGCUCUGGGACUGGGUUAUCUCGCUGCCCCCUCAGUGGCAGGCAUCUGCUGGCCCUACUAACAGGCUUAACCACCAAGACAACAAUCACGAAAGCAUUGGGGAGAAGAAAGAGGAGGAGGAAUAAGAAGAGGAGAACACAAGAGGAGAAGGUGGAAGAGGAAAGAGAGAGGAUUUGCAUGGGGAAUCAAGAUGCCUAUGUCCUGAUUCUUUUGAAGAGCAUCUAGCACCUCACCUCACCCUAGUCCUGGCCCUUAUUGGCAGGAACAUCAACUUGAGAGCAACCCUGAAGCACUAAUUGGAAAGAAGUCAUGCUGGACGAUCAAGCAAUUUGAAUUGGAACCCUGACCUUGAACAAGCUGUGGAAGCUUGGGAAAUUUCUGGCAUCCCUAGCUCACCUAUUUUUCCACUCCCCCCCCCCCCCACUUCUUGCUCCUUUUGUCCUCCCUCAUUGGGAUACUAUGUGAAUAGAUGAGAUAAUAAACCAGAUUUUCUGAGUUUCAGAAUUACUCCCUGGGAAUAA
Long non-coding RNA from Marmota monax (woodchuck), 1960 nucleotides. RefSeq lists it as uncharacterized. The transcript is spliced from 4 exons. Lineage: Eukaryota; Metazoa; Chordata; Mammalia; Rodentia; Sciuridae. The record is from RefSeq and is a predicted model, not a curated record.